Erinaceus europaeus (western European hedgehog) is the source of this 188-nucleotide long non-coding RNA. RefSeq lists it as uncharacterized. NCBI's taxonomy places the organism in Eukaryota, Metazoa, Chordata, Mammalia, Eulipotyphla, Erinaceidae. The record is from RefSeq and is a predicted model, not a curated record. The transcript has 2 exons.
AGAAAACAGAGUGCUCUGUGAUCAUGCUGAAUCCCUCUUAGGGAAAGGUUACUUCAGUUCUAAGUAUUAAAAACUGGGAUUCUCAGCACCCAUGGUCAGAGCUGACCAUGGAGCAGAGUCCUCCAAGUGGAAGCCCCCAUCCCCCGUGACAGGUGCAUUUAGAAACAGAGUUUAAAAAUGGAGUCCCC